ACGCACGCUGGCGGCAUGCCUCACACAUGCACGUCGAACGAGACCUUCGGGUCUAGUGGCGCACGGGUGCGUAACGCGUGGGAACCUGCCCUUAGGUUCGGAAUAACUCCCCGAAAGGGGUGCUAAUACCGGAUAAUGUCUUCGGACCAAAGAUUUAUCGCCUUUGGAUGGGCCCGCGUUGGAUUAGCUAGUUGGUAGGGUAAAAGCCUACCAAGGCGGCGAUCCAUAGCUGGUCUGAGAGGAUGAUCAGCCACACUGGGACUGAGACACGGCCCAGACUCCUACGGGAGGCAGCAGUGGGGAAUAUUGGACAAUGGGCGAAAGCCUGAUCCAGCAAUGCCGCGUGAGUGAUGAAGGCCUUAGGGUUGUAAAGCUCUUUUACCCGGGAUGAUAAUGACAGUACCGGGAGAAUAAGCUCCGGCUAACUCCGUG
RNAcentral lists this ribosomal RNA (432 nucleotides) under uncultured bacterium. RNAcentral's name for it is "partial 16S ribosomal RNA". It matches the Rfam family "Bacterial small subunit ribosomal RNA", at positions 29 to 507 of the family's 1533-position model. The record is from RNAcentral.